This 441-nucleotide ribosomal RNA is filed under the name uncultured Acidobacteriota bacterium. Its description in RNAcentral is "bacterial SSU rRNA". It matches the Rfam family "Bacterial small subunit ribosomal RNA", at positions 37 to 457 of the family's 1533-position model. The record is from RNAcentral. Lineage: Bacteria; Pseudomonadati; Acidobacteriota.
UAGAGGAGGGCAAGUACCGCUUGGCGGCCGUUGCUUUACACAUGCAAGUCGAGCGAUGGCGGGUACAAUACCCCAGUCGGAGUCGGCGAACGGGUAGAGUAACUGGAUAACCUUGCCCUGAGGUGGGGAAUAACCCUGGGGAAACUCGGGCUAAUACCGCAUGAUACCGAAGAGGUCAAAGCGGGGUCGCAAGAUCUCGCGCCACAGGAGGGGUCCGCGUUCGAUUAGCUAGUUUGUAGGGUAAUGGCCUACCAAGGCGACGAUCGAUAGCCGGCCUGAGAGGGUGAUCGGCCACACUGGAACUGAGACACGGUCCAGACUCCUAUGGGAGGCAGCAGUGGGGAAUUUUGCGCAAUGGGCUAACGCCUGACGCAGCAACGCCGCGUGGAGGAUGAAGGUCUUUGGAUUGUAAACUCCUGUCAGCAGGGAAAAAGCGAUGAG